GGGAUAAGUUGCUUGUCUUUUAUAAGUUUUUGGGGAUAAGUUGCUUGUCUUUUAUAAGUUGUUGGGGAUAAGUUGCUUGUCUUUUAUAAGUUGUUGGGGAUAAGUUGCUUGUCUUUUAUAAGUUGUUGGGGAUAAGUUGCUUGUCUUUUAUAAGUUGUUGGGGAUAAGUCGUUUGCAUUUUAUAAGUUCUCAGGAUAAGUCGUUUGCCUUUUAUAAGUUUCUCGGAUAAGUCGUUUGCCUUUUAUAAGUUGUUGGGGAUAAGUUGCUUGUCUUUUAUAAGUUGUUGGGGAUAAGUUGCUUGUCUUUUAUAAGUUGUUGGGGAUAAGUUGCUUGUCUUUUAUAAGUUGUUGGGGAUAAGUCUUUGCCUUUUAUAAGUUGUUGGGGAUAAGUCGCUUGUCUUUUAUAAGUUGUUGGGGAUAAGUCUUUUGCAUUUUAUAAGUUUCUCGGGAUAAGUUGCUUGUCUUUUAUAAGUUGUUGGGGAUAAGUUGUUUGCCUUUUAUAGGUUUUUGGGGAUAAGUCUUUUGCCUUUUAUAAGUUUUGGGGCGAUAAGUUGCUUGUCUUUUAUAAGUUGUUGGGGAUAAGU
Ictalurus punctatus (channel catfish) is the source of this 583-nucleotide long non-coding RNA. NCBI's taxonomy places the organism in Eukaryota, Metazoa, Chordata, Actinopteri, Siluriformes, Ictaluridae. The record is from Ensembl.